Molecule: ribosomal RNA, 834 nt
Filed under: Hercinothrips femoralis (banded greenhouse thrips)
Lineage: Eukaryota; Metazoa; Arthropoda; Insecta; Thysanoptera; Thripidae
Description: partial 28S ribosomal RNA
Source: RNAcentral
AGACUCCUUGGUCCGUGUUUCAAGACGGGGCGGGCGAGUACCAAAAACAAUAAAGCCGCCGACCGGUUCAAGGACCUGUCCCGCCUCGCGGCGGGGCGCUCCGAAGAGCGGUCCCUUCCCCUUCAUUAUAUGAUACCGUCGAGAGCUGACUGGGACACCCGGGGUUCGCAGGUCCCUUUCGAAACAAGCNNNUUCAACCCAANGGCCCACAAGCCGACUACCCAACGGAUCGCGACCUCCUACUAGGGCAGAAGUGCAUAAUUCCGCUCCGGGCGCGAACACACGCGGUUCCGANGAAGAGCGCGAGCCGCAGAACGACACGCUUCUCNACCAACUUCGCCACGCGGGCUCCGGAGCGGUACACCUGAGUCUGCCCGUCCGGACUUUUCGGUCUCGUCCAAUUUCAAUCAACUCAGUUUCACGUACUCCUGAACUCUCUCUUCAAAGUUCUUUUCACCUUUCCCUUGCUGUACUUGUGCGCUAUCGUCUCCGUGGUAUAAUUAGGCCUAAUUGGAGUCUAACAUCACUUCAAUUGCGUCAAGUGUUGAUUCACAAGUGAACGCAACUCACGAGAAGGUUUUCAGCCGCCCAACGGGGCAUGUCACCCUUUUGGGGCCUUUGUUCAAGUCCAGGACUUGAGGNUUCCCGAAUCGCCCUCCCCGUUAACGGAGUCCUUUUAUACGNUACAUUUCCAACCGUGAUGCAGGUCCCAGAGGAUUCAGCGAUGGGCUGUUCCCGUUUCCCUCGCGGGUACUAAGGGAAUCCUUGUUAGUUUCUUUUCCUCCCCUUAUUAAAAUGCUUUAAUCCAGGGGGUAAUCUCACCUGAACUGAGGU